RNAcentral lists this ribosomal RNA (303 nucleotides) under uncultured bacterium. RNAcentral describes it as "bacterial SSU rRNA". It matches the Rfam family "Bacterial small subunit ribosomal RNA", at positions 29 to 314 of the family's 1533-position model. The record is from RNAcentral.
AACGAACGCUGGCGGCGUGCCUAAACAUGCAAGUCGAACGUGAAAACGGGCUUCGGCCCGUCGGUAGCGUGGCAGACGGGUGAGUAACACGUGGGUAACCUACCCGGAGAUGGGGGAUAACCUUUCGAAAGGAAGGCUAAUACCGCAUAACAUCCUGAGGCCCUCGGUCCUCGGGAUCAAAGCUAGCCUCUACAUGUAAGCUGGCGUCACCGGAGGGGCCCGCGCCCCAUUAGCUUGUUGGUGAGGUAACGGCUCACCAAGGCCACGAUGGGUAGCCGGCCUGAGAGGGCGAUCGGCCACACU